RNAcentral lists this long non-coding RNA (1122 nucleotides) under Oncorhynchus kisutch (coho salmon). Its description in RNAcentral is "lncRNA (ENSOKIG00005028311.1)". The record is from RNAcentral. Lineage: Eukaryota; Metazoa; Chordata; Actinopteri; Salmoniformes; Salmonidae.
AUGAAAGAAGGGGCAACAAUGUCUGAAGAAGGGGCAACAAUGUCUGAAGAAGGGGCAACAAUGUCUGAAGAAGGGGCAACAAUGUCUGAAGAAGGGGAAACAAUGUCUGAAGAAAGGGCAACAAUGUCGGAAGAAGGGGCAACAAUGUCGGAAGAAGGGGCAACAGUGUCGGAAAAAGGACAGAUAAUUGCCUCUGAUACUGGUAGUGAUGAGGAGUUAGGUGAAGCAUUGUCUAAUGGCAACCCCAUACCACCUAAGAGGGGAAAGGGAAGGCCCAAAGGAUCAGGCUCUAAGACACCCAAGAUACUGAGGGUACUAGACAAGCAGCCACGAGGCAGGCCACGUAAAGUGGUUGACCCUAAUGCUGUUUCAGCAGAGCCAACUGCACCUCUGAAGCAUGGCCGGCCCCAAAAAGUUAAACAACCCAAAAAAAGGGGUAGGCCGAGGAAGAACCCACUAUCAACUGAGGAGGAAGAAAAGAGAAAGAAACCGAAAAGCGAACCUAAGGGAUCAAGAGUGUCAAAGCCUCUCGGAAGGCCGCGCAUCCAUCCCUGCAUGGAUCCCCCAGCCACCUCUGCCGAGCCACGGGGAAGAGGCCGUCCACGCAAGGCAAUAAUAGGUAAAGGUGUCCACUUACGGAAGAACCCACCUCCAACCUCUAAAGUUUCCAAGCCACCCGUUAAAGAUGGUUCCCCGCGAAAGAGGGGCCGCCCCUUAGGCUCCGUACUAGCAAACAAUGCCAAGAGAGCAGCAGAGAAGGAUCGUUCCAAUAGUGCACCCCCAGCCAAACGGGGGUGCACUGUUUCUCCAAUAGUAAAGCUUUACCGCUGCACCAAUGGUAAAGCAAAUGUGUUAGAUGAAGCUGCCAUCCAAGCCCAGAGGCGAAGAGGCAGGAGAAAGACUGUGAAAGUUGAUUAUACAACUUAUGAUUCAGAGGAGGAGGAAGAUGCAGAGAAAAAUGAGGACGAAGACUUGUCUCCAGUUGAAGAGGAAAUAAAUCCACACAGUGAUCAUCACAAGGCUAGCAAACCUGGUAAGGUGGUGGCAGCCCUAAAGAAGGUGGGGGUUGUUUCUAAAAGGAGGGGCAGGAAGCCUGGCUCAACCAAAAAGGUUCUAAAGUAA